UCCUCUCUCAAUCUGUCAUUAACAAAUUUUAACAAGGAGGGAAGGAUAAAUAAACAAAGAAAAAGAUCCGUUAAAAAAAGAGAAACAUAGAAAAGUAGUUUCUCUAACCCUAACCCUCGAUUACAAUUUUACAUUUCUCUCGACAUUCCUUCAUUUCAGUUUUCUAUCUAAAAUAUUAACAAUUUACCACACAUAAUUUGAUUUCCAGCAUCAAAUUCACUUCUUUCCGAAUCUGAGCAGAUAAGAAGAGUGACAGAAAAGAAAAAUCAAAGGAUUGUGCGCAAAUUUAUCUUUUUUCGACGAAACCGGAAACUUGGAUCUUACGAAAAUUUGAAGGUGGGUACCUAGAAGACUCUGAUUGUCAGUGCCCGGAUCAUUGAUUGAGUCGUUAGCAGAAGACCGUGGGUGUUGCACUCUCCUUCUCUCCCCUUUCUCUCUCUUUCAAUUUGUCGAAAAUGAAGCUAACAGUCAAGACUUUGAAAGGAAGCCACUUUGAGAUUCGAGUGCAGCCCAAUGACACAGUUAUGGCAGUGAAGAAAAAUAUUGAAGAUGUGCAAGGGAAAGAUAAUUAUCCCUGCGGGCAGCAGUUACUUAUUCAUAAUGGGAAAGUCUUGAAAGAUGAAACAACGUUGGCAGAGAACAAGGUUUCGGAAGAUGGCUUCCUUGUGGUCAUGCUCAGCAAGAGCAAAACUUUAAGUGCGGGAGGAACUUCAAGUGCUCAGCCUACGUCUAAUCUUACACCCAAUCCUGCACCUAGCACUACGACUGCAGCUACCCCACCUGAAGCACAGAUCGUUCCAAAGGGUGAAACUGAUUCUAAUGCUCGAAGCUCCAAUGCGACCACAGAUACGUAUGAUCAGGCUGCUUCUAAUCUAGUUGCCGGUAAUACUCUGGAGCAGACCAUACAGCAAAUCCUGGAUAUUGGUGGAGGCAGUUGGGACAGAGAUACAGUUAUGCGUGCCCUGAGGGCUGCUUAUAACAAUCCUGAGCGUGCUAUAGACUAUCUGUAUUCUGGAAUUCCUCAAACAGCUGAAAUUGUUGAGCCUGUGCCAGAGUUUCCUGCAAAUCAGGCAAACACUGCAACAGAACAAGGGACAGGUCCAGCCCCAAUUUCUGGGGCACCAAAUUCUUCUCCAUUAAAUAUGUUUCCACAGGAGUCACUCUCUGAUGCGGCUGCUGGCGGGUUAGGAUCACUUGAUUUCCUUAGAAACAAUCAGCAGUUCCAGGCUUUGCGCAAUAUGGUGCAAACAAAUCCUCAGAUUUUACAGCCAAUGCUUCAGGAGCUUGGAAAGCAGAAUCCAGAGCUUCUAAGAUUAAUUCAGGAUCACCAUGCUGAGUUCCUUCAACUUUUAAAUGAACCUCUUGAUGGUUCUGAAGGGGAUAUAUUUGAUCAGCCUGAGCAGGAUAUGCCCCAUGCAAUUAGUGUCACCCAGGAGGAGCAGGAGGCCAUUGAAAGGCUUGAGGCAAUGGGUUUUGAUAGAGCACUCGUCAUUGAAGCAUAUUUAGCCUGUGAACGUGAUGAAGAAUUAGCUGCUAACUACUUGUUGGAGCAUGCGGAUGAAAAUGAGGAUUAGACAGGAGGUAUAGUCGGUUAUUGAUAUCUGGAUUGCUGAUUUUAGGGAAAUGGGAUAUACAUGCUGGUGCUUGAGAAGGUUAUCGGGUAUGCAUGGAAUGGAAUGAAUAUUACAGAUUUGCGUCGGAGUUAUUGCAUUGGCUUUGUAUUCCCAGAGUUUGAGGGGUGAUUUAGAGAUUGAAGCUGAAAAUGGAGAAAUUUUUUAGUGAACUUUUGAUGAUUUGCUAUUAGAAAUAGCUGUACAGUCGGUCUUUGGUUAGUCGGUCUCAGUUGUCAGAUUAGGUAUUAGCGGCAGAGAUUAUACUCCUUAGUAAAAGAAAGGGGGUAGUAUUAACAUGUUUUAUUUAACUUUUAAGGAUUUUUGUAAGGUUUUAUAAAUUGCUAAAAGGCCGACUUUUGACAUAGUGUUUUUUUUUUGGUAACUAUGC
Beta vulgaris subsp. vulgaris (sugar beet) is the source of this 2001-nucleotide RNA transcript. It is a transcript of the gene named probable ubiquitin receptor RAD23a, with no coding region annotated. The transcript is spliced from 15 exons. The record is from RefSeq and is a predicted model, not a curated record. NCBI's taxonomy places the organism in Eukaryota, Viridiplantae, Streptophyta, Magnoliopsida, Caryophyllales, Amaranthaceae.